GAUGAACGCUGGCGGCGUGCCUAAUACAUGCAAGUCGAGCGAACGGACGAGAAGCUUGCUUCCCUGAUGUUAGCGGCGGACGGGUGAGUAACACGUGGAUAACCUACCUAUAAGACUGGGAUAACUUCGGGAAACCGGUGCUAAUACCGGAUAAUAUUUUGAACCGCAUGGUUCAAAAGUGAAAGACGGUUUUGCUGUCACUUAUAGAUGGAUCCGCGCUGCAUUAGCUAGUUGGUAAGGUAACGGCUUACCAAGGCAACGAUGCAUAGCCGACCUGAGAGGGUGAUCAGCCACACUGGAACUGAGACACGGUCCAGACUCCUACGGGAGGCAGCAGUAGGGAAUCUUCCGCAAUGGGCGAAAGCCUGACGGAGCAACGCCGCGUGAGUGAUGAAGGUCUUCGGAUCGUAAAACUCUGUUAUUAGGGAAGAACAUAUGUGUAAGUAACUGUGGACAUCUUGACGGUACCUAAUCAGAAAGCCACGGCUAACUACGUG
This 497-nucleotide ribosomal RNA is filed under the name uncultured bacterium. RNAcentral describes it as "partial 16S ribosomal RNA". It matches the Rfam family "Bacterial small subunit ribosomal RNA", at positions 28 to 507 of the family's 1533-position model. The record is from RNAcentral.